Molecule: long non-coding RNA, 1051 nt
Filed under: Daucus carota (carrot)
Lineage: Eukaryota; Viridiplantae; Streptophyta; Magnoliopsida; Apiales; Apiaceae
Description: long non-coding RNA (DCAR_LNC001849)
Source: RNAcentral
UGGAGGGCGACGACCCACCUACUUGGAUGCCUAGGAUCUAAGUGGAUGAUGUCCCUACUGUCCUAGAUGCCUGGGAUUUAAGUAGAUGAUUUCCCUACUGUCCCGGAGGUUGUUCGUCCCCAAGUGCGGUGGAGAGCGACGACCCACCUACUUGGAUGCCUGGGAUCUAAGUGGAUGAUGUCCCUACUGUCCCAGAGGUUUAUGUUCCCCAAGUGUGGUGGAGGGCGACGACCCACCUACUUGGAUGCCUGGAAUCUAAGUGGAUGAUUUCUCUAUUGUUCCAGAGGUUGUUUUUCCCUAAGUGUGGUGGAGGGCAACGGCCCACCUACUUGGAUGCCUAGGAUCUAAGUGGAUGAUGUCCCUACUGUCCUAGAUGCCUGGGAUUUAAGUAGAUGAUUUCCCUACUGUCCCGGAGGUUGUUCGUCCCCAAGUGCGGUGGAGGGCGACGACCCACCUACUUGGAUGCCUAGGAUUUAAGUGGAUGAUGUCCCUACUGUCCUAGAUGCCUGGGAUUUAAGUAGAUGAUUUCCCUACUGUCCCGGAGGUUGAUCGUCCCCAAGUGCGGUGGAGGGCGACGACCCACCUACUUGGAUGCCUAGGAUUUAAGUGGAUGAUGUCCCUACUGUCCUAGAUGCCUGGGAUUUAAGUAGAUGAUUUCCCUACUGUCCCGGAGGUUGAUCGUCCCCAAGUGCGGUGGAGGGCGACGACCCACCUACUUGGAUGCCUAGGAUUUAAGUGGAUGAUGUCCCUACUGUCCUAGAUGCCUGGGAUUUAAGUAGAUGAUUUCCCUACUGUCCCGGAGGUUGAUCGUCCCCAAGUGUGGUGGAGGGCGACGACCCACCUACUUGGAUGCCUAGGAUUUAAGUGGAUGAUGUCCCUACUGUCCUAGAUGCCUGGGAUUUAAGUAGAUGAUUUCCCUACUGUCCCGGAGGUUGAUCGUCCCCAAGUGCGGUGGAGGGCGACGACCCAUCUACUUGGAUGCCUAGGAUUUAAGUGGAUGUUGUCCCUACUGUCCUAGAUGCCUGGGAUUUAAGUAGAUGAUUUCCCUACU